Molecule: transfer RNA, 76 nt
Filed under: Propionibacterium freudenreichii
Lineage: Bacteria; Bacillati; Actinomycetota; Actinomycetes; Propionibacteriales; Propionibacteriaceae
Also listed under: 1 other name
Description: tRNA-Leu
Rfam family: tRNA
About the family: Transfer RNA (tRNA) molecules are approximately 80 nucleotides in length. Their secondary structure includes four short double-helical elements and three loops (D, anti-codon, and T loops). Further hydrogen bonds mediate the characteristic L-shaped molecular structure. tRNAs have two regions of fundamental functional importance: the anti-codon, which is responsible for specific mRNA codon recognition, and the 3' end, to which the tRNAs corresponding amino acid is attached (by aminoacyl-tRNA synthetases). tRNAs cope with the degeneracy of the genetic code in two manners: having more than one tRNA (with a specific anti-codon) for a particular amino acid; and 'wobble' base-pairing, i.e. permitting non-standard base-pairing at the 3rd anti-codon position.
Source: RNAcentral
GCCCCCGUAGCCCAACGGCAGAGGCAGGCGGCUUAAACCCGCUCCAGUGCGGGUUCGAAUCCCGCUGGGGGCACCC